This 464-nucleotide ribosomal RNA is filed under the name uncultured bacterium. RNAcentral's name for it is "partial 16S ribosomal RNA". It matches the Rfam family "Bacterial small subunit ribosomal RNA", at positions 28 to 507 of the family's 1533-position model. The record is from RNAcentral. RNAcentral also lists the same sequence under 1 other name.
GACGAACGCUGGCGGCGUGCUUAACACAUGCAAGUCGAACGGUAAGGCCCCAGCUUGCUGGGGUACACGAGUGGCGAACGGGUGAGUAACACGUGGGUGACCUGCCCCGCACUUCGGGAUAAGCCUGGGAAACUGGGUCUAAUACCGGAUAGGACCGCACCGUGAGGGUGUGGUGGAAAGUUUUUCGGUGUGGGAUGGGCCCGCGGCCUAUCAGCUUGUUGGUGGGGUAAUGGCCUACCAAGGCGGCGACGGGUAGCCGGCCUGAGAGGGUGGACGGCCACAUUGGGACUGAGACACGGCCCAGACUCCUACGGGAGGCAGCAGUGGGGAAUAUUGCACAAUGGGCGGAAGCCUGAUGCAGCGACGCCGCGUGGGGGAUGACGGCCUUCGGGUUGUAAACUCCUUUCACCAUCGACGAAGGUUUUCUGACGGUAGAUGGAGAAGAAGCACCGGCUAACUACGUG